Molecule: long non-coding RNA, 226 nt
Filed under: Nicotiana benthamiana
Lineage: Eukaryota; Viridiplantae; Streptophyta; Magnoliopsida; Solanales; Solanaceae
Description: long non-coding RNA (NBEN_LNC041480)
Source: RNAcentral
AAAAAAAGACUUGUGUUAGAUUAGCACUACAAAUCUAAUCUAAAUAAAAUAGAUACAAAAAAGUAUAGAUGAGAGAAUAAAUUAAGUGGAAAAUAAAACUAUAAUUUAUUUAGAUUUAUUUAAUCCAUAAUGGAUUCAAUCAAGUUAAGUGAGAUAAGCAAACUUGAUUUCUUUUUUAGUUUUAGUAGAGUUCCAAUGAAAAAAUGAAAACCACCCAAUUGAAAGA